GGAUGUGGGGGCGAUGGGCUGCAAUACAUCAGCUUGUUGAUUGCCAGGGUCAUAUGGCUGAUCUGAUGGUGAGGCAGGUGUCCUCCUCCCUCACUGCUCCAUGUGUGGUCCCCCCAAAGCUGCACACUGGAUGGAAGGUGACCAUUCCUAACAGGACUAUUUCCUCGGUCAAGGGUACACAAGUAGCGAUGCUCCCCUGCUAGAACCUCUAAACAAGCUCUUAAAAUGAGACUCUGACUCAAAAAAAUCAAAGUAUAACUUGUAUAAGCUUUAACAAGCUCUUUAACCAACAAGGAACUAACUUCCUCUAUACAAUGGGAAUAAUGCUAAUACUU
This 335-nucleotide small nuclear RNA is filed under the name Octodon degus (degu). RNAcentral's name for it is "7SK RNA (ENSODEG00000025746.1)". It matches the Rfam family "7SK RNA". Rfam says of the family: 7SK was discovered as an abundant small nuclear RNA in the mid-70s but a possible function has only recently been suggested. Two independent studies have found that 7SK RNA binds the CDK9/cyclin T complex (known as elongation factor P-TEFb). Lineage: Eukaryota; Metazoa; Chordata; Mammalia; Rodentia; Octodontidae. The record is from Rfam by way of RNAcentral.